Esox lucius (northern pike) is the source of this 402-nucleotide long non-coding RNA. NCBI's taxonomy places the organism in Eukaryota, Metazoa, Chordata, Actinopteri, Esociformes, Esocidae. The record is from Ensembl.
CACUGGAGUGCAUGAUUGAGAUACCAGGGUGGAGAGUCCCCCUUGGGGGUGCAACGACUUAGGGGGUGUGGCGUCACUCCUUGGAGUAGAGAUGGCACCAGCUCUUCCAAAUCACUUAUCACACACCUGUUCCCGCUUGACUCAUCACCGGCUGUAUUUCUGAGGAGCCCUGACAACCCGUCCCCUGAUCGUUCAUCCACAUUCGAUUCCACCAGACGACCAUCGCCAGCUUGUGUACCAACCUCCUGCCCAUCUACGACUACUCUGCCUGCUACCUGCCUGUACCUCUGCUGCCAGCCUGUGUACCAACCCCCUUGCCUGUCCACGACUACUCUGCAUCUGCUCCUGCCCUCGAACCAACCCCGCUACUUCCCCAGCCUUCCCCGCUCACAAUAAAUAAGU